Molecule: ribosomal RNA, 492 nt
Filed under: uncultured bacterium
Lineage: Bacteria
Description: partial 16S ribosomal RNA
Rfam family: Bacterial small subunit ribosomal RNA
Source: RNAcentral
AGUGAACGCUGGCGGUAGGCCUAACACAUGCAAGUCGAACGGCAGCACAGUAAGAGCUUGCUCUUACGGGUGGCGAGUGGCGGACGGGUGAGGAAUACAUCGGAAUCUACUUUUUCGUGGGGGAUAACGUAGGGAAACUUACGCUAAUACCGCAUACGACCUACGGGUGAAAGCAGGGGAUCUUCGGACCUUGCGCGAUUGAAUGAGCCGAUGUCGGAUUGGCUAGUUGGCGGGGUAAAGGCCCACCAAGGCGACGAUCCGUAGCUGGUCUGAGAGGAUGAUCACCCACACUGGAACGGAGACACGGUCCAGACUCCUACGGGAGGCAGCAGUGGGGAAUAUUGGACAAUGGGCGCAAGCCUGAUCCAGCCAUACCGCGUGGGUGAAGAAGGCCUUCGGGUUGUAAAGCCCUUUUGUUGGGAAAGAAAAGCAGCAGGUUAAUACCCCGCUGUUCUGACGGUACCCAAAGAAUAAGCACCGGCUAACUUCGUG